UACGUAGGGGGCAAGCGUUGUCCGGAUUCAUUGGGCGUAAAGAGCGUGUAGGCGGCCAGGUAGGUCGGUUGUGAAAACUGGAGGCUCAACCUUCAGAGGUCGACCGAAACCAUCUGGCUAGAGUCCGGGAGAGGAGAGUGGAAUUCCUGGUGUAGCGGUGAAAUGCGCAGAUAUCAGGAAGAACACCCGUGGCGAAAGCGGCUCUCUGGAACGGCACUGACGCUGAGACGCGAAAGCGUGGGGAGCGAACAGG
RNAcentral lists this ribosomal RNA (253 nucleotides) under uncultured bacterium. RNAcentral describes it as "partial 16S ribosomal RNA". It matches the Rfam family "Bacterial small subunit ribosomal RNA", at positions 524 to 776 of the family's 1533-position model. The record is from RNAcentral.